AAACCGCGAAUGGCUCAUUAAAUCAGUUAUGGUUCCUUAGAUCGUUCAUACUACAUGGAUAACUGUGGUAAUUCUAGAGCUAAUACAUGCAAAAAGCUCCGACCGUAUGGGAAGAGCGCUUUUAUUAGACCAAAACCAAUGGGGUCGCAAGAUCCCUUUGUAUGGUGACUCUGGAUAACUUUGUGCUGAUCGCAUGGCCUCGAGCCGGCGACGUAUCUUUCAAGUGUCUGCCCUAUCAACUUUCGAUGGUAAGCGAUUUGCCUACCAUGGUUGUAACGGGUAACGGGGAAUCAGGGUUCGAUUCCGGAGAGGGAGCAUGAGAAAUGGCUACCACAUCUACGGAAGGCAGCAGGCGCGCAAAUUACCCACUCCUAGAACGGGGAGGUAGUGACGAAAAAUAACAAUACCGGACUCAAUGAGGCUCGGUAAUUGAAAUGAGUACAGUUUAAAACCCUUAACGAGGAUCUAUUGGAGGGCAAGUCUGGU
RNAcentral lists this ribosomal RNA (486 nucleotides) under uncultured eukaryote. RNAcentral's name for it is "SSU rRNA". It matches the Rfam family "Eukaryotic small subunit ribosomal RNA", at positions 84 to 565 of the family's 1831-position model. The record is from RNAcentral.